GGGGGGGGGGGGGGGGGGGGGGGGGGCGGGCGGGGGGGGCGGGGGGGGGGGGCUGGCGGGGUGCUCGGGUGGGGGACGGGUGAGUAGCGCGUGGGGGAUCUGCCCUGCACUUCGGGAUAAGCUUGGGCAACUGGGUCUCAUACCGGAGAGGAGCCAUCUUUAGUGUGGUGGUUGGAAAGUUUUUUCGGUGUAGGAUGAGCUCGCGGCCUAUCAGCUUGUUGGUGGGGUAAUGGCCUACCAAGGCGGCGACGGGUAGCCGGCCUGAGAGGGUGUACGGCCACAUUGGGACUGAGAUACGGCCCAGACUCCUACGGGAGGCAGCAGUGGGGAAUAUUGCACAAUGGGCGCAAGCCUGAUGCAGCGACGCCGCGUGGGGGAUGAAGGCCUUCGGGUUGUAAACUCCUUUCGCUAGGGACGAAGCUUUUUGUGACGGUACCUAGAUAAGAAGCACCGGCUAACUACGUG
RNAcentral lists this ribosomal RNA (465 nucleotides) under uncultured bacterium. RNAcentral describes it as "partial 16S ribosomal RNA". The stretch from base 52 to 465 matches the Rfam family "Bacterial small subunit ribosomal RNA", at positions 35 to 507 of the family's 1533-position model. The record is from RNAcentral.